ACUCCUUUGGUGUAGUGGCUAACAUGACGGAUUCCAACCCCGUUGCCGAGAGUUCGAAUCUUUCAGGGAGUGC
Molecule: transfer RNA, 73 nt
Filed under: uncultured marine phage
Description: tRNA-Trp
Rfam family: tRNA
About the family: Transfer RNA (tRNA) molecules are approximately 80 nucleotides in length. Their secondary structure includes four short double-helical elements and three loops (D, anti-codon, and T loops). Further hydrogen bonds mediate the characteristic L-shaped molecular structure. tRNAs have two regions of fundamental functional importance: the anti-codon, which is responsible for specific mRNA codon recognition, and the 3' end, to which the tRNAs corresponding amino acid is attached (by aminoacyl-tRNA synthetases). tRNAs cope with the degeneracy of the genetic code in two manners: having more than one tRNA (with a specific anti-codon) for a particular amino acid; and 'wobble' base-pairing, i.e. permitting non-standard base-pairing at the 3rd anti-codon position.
Source: RNAcentral